This 9943-nucleotide long non-coding RNA is filed under the name Malus domestica (apple). RNAcentral describes it as "long non-coding RNA (MDOM_LNC016148)". Lineage: Eukaryota; Viridiplantae; Streptophyta; Magnoliopsida; Rosales; Rosaceae. The record is from RNAcentral.
AUUGAUAUUUGUUGGAUAUUUGAAACAUGCCAUUAAUGUGAUUUGCAAUAUGAUUUGGUUGUCAUGUAAUAGCUAGGUUAUAGUGUACGAGCUCCUGUUAUAUAUAUAUAUAUAUAUAUAUAUAUAUAUAUAUAUGCCAUUAAUGUGAUUUGCAAUAUGCUAUGGUUGUCAUGUAAUAGUUAGGUUAUAAUGUACGAGCUCCUGUCAUAUAUAUAUAAGUAAAUAUUUGAUCUACAACAAUGCUACUCUUCAUUACUUUUACGUAGGUAUGGCUACUGUCAUGCAUGAUUAUUUGUUGCUCAACACCUUUACAGGAACACAUGCAUGAAGAAUAACAAGACAAAAUUAAAAGGACCAAGAAGACUGGAGGAGGGCAGGGAGGUAUUGUACGCACACACUCUCUCUAGACAAAGAGCUCGAUGCCACGUUGUGUACUCUUUCUCUAGACAGAGAGCUGGGGGCUACUUUCUCUCUCUAGACACAGAGUUGGGGUGUGCACUCUCUCUAGACUAGGCGCCACAAUAUAAUCCCACCCUCUUUCACAGAGAGUUGCAGCCAUCACAUAAUUUCAUAAUUUUCAUUUCAGUCAUGGCAACAGUACCACUCAACACUAGAGCCAAUAGAUCAUCCAUCCCACCUGAAAACCCAACAAUGAACCCCAAGACAUGGCGGCUUCUUUCACCACUCUCCUUGCCCUUGAAGGGUUAUUGUUUGCUAUCGAUACUAAUGCUCCAGGUACAUUUGUGCACAGCAAAGCCCACAAAAAGUUGGUCUAGAUUGUGGGUUUCUCACUGGGUUUCAUAUUUUAUGGAUUGUUAUUUUUAUCAGCCAAAUUAAAAUACCCUUUGUACAUAUGGCUUGCGUUAUUCGUGACCUAGAUAAUGUUCUGGUUUGGAGUCGAUGAAAACGUCCAUCCCAAGAAAUAUUUCGUAAAGAUGGUGUUAAUCAUUAACUUUAUUCACGCAACCCUAAUCUUUUUUAAAACACUCUUCCUUGUUGGAGUGUUUGAAAGCUUCUGGUUUCUGAAGAAAAACCUAUCCUUCUAGGGUCCAGGAGGUUUUCUUAACCAUAUGGAGAAAGCUAAUCCAUGGCUUGCCAACUGUCUAGGUAUGAUCUUUUAUAUAAUUAUUUAUGUAAAAUUAAUAGAAAAUUUCUUUUUAUAUGAAGAAUUUUUUUUUAUUUAUACAAGGCUUUGCUUCUCUUGCUGCCCCCGCACCCCCUGUUGUCGUUGAUCUUGUUACCGCUGCUGCUGCUACUAUUGCUGCUCCUCGUGGUGGUGGAGGUCAAGCAAGUCAUGUUUAGGGUAGGGUUUAAAUAUUCUAUAUUUAAGACUUUUUGUUGGAUUACUGUUCAAGUUAUCAAUGUCUUGAUACAAAUUUACAAGUUAAUUGAUUUCAGGACUGAUAACUUGAACAGUAAUCCAACAAAAAGUCUUUAAAUAUAGAUACCCUACAAAUGACCUGUUUGACCUCCACCACCACGAGGAGCAGCAAUAGUAGAAGCAACAAUGGUAAUAAGAUCAACAGCAACAGAGGGUGCGGGGGCAACAGGAGAAGCAAAGCUUUUAUAAAUAAAAAAAUUCUUAAUAUAAAAAGAAAUUUUCUAAUAAUUUUACAGAAAUAAUUAUAUAAAAGAUCAUGCAUAGACAGUUGGUGAGCCAUGGAUUAGCUUUCUCUAGGUGGUUGAGAAAACCUCUUGGACCCUAGAAAGAUAGGUUUUUCUUCAGAAACCGGAAGCUUUCAGGCACCCUAACAUGGAAGAGUGUUUUAAAAAAGAUUAGGGCUGCAAGAAUAAAGUUAAUGAUUAACACCAUCUUGACAAAAUAUUUCUUAGGAUGGAUGGUUUCAUUGACGCCAAACCAGAAAAUUAUCCAUGUCAUGGAUAACGCAAGCCAUAUGUACAUAGGGUAUUUCAAUUAGGCUGAUAAAAAUUCCAAUCUGUAAAAUAUGAAACCCACAAUCCAGACCAACUUUUUGUGGGCUUUGCUGUGCACAAAUGCAACUUGAGCACUGGUACUAAUAGCGAACAAUAACCCUCCAAGGGCAAGGAGAGUGGUGAAAGAAGCUGCUAAUGUCUUGGGGUUCAUUUCUGGGUUUUCAGGUGAGAUGGAUGAUCUAUUGGCUCCAGUGUUGGAUGGUGCUGUUGCCAUGGCUGAAAUGGAAAGUAUGUGGUGGUGGGUUUAUAUUGUGGCGCCUAGUCUAGAGAGAGUGCACACCCAAUUCUGUGUCUAGAGAGAGAAAGUACAAUACGUGGCGCCCCCAGCUCUUUGUCUAGAGAGAGUACAACGAGGCACCCAACUCUUUGUCUAGAGAGUGUGCGUAUAGUACCUCCCUGCCCUCAUCUUGGUCCUUUUAAUUUUGUCAUGUUAUUCUUCAUGCCUGUGUUUCUGUAGAGGUGCUAAGCAACAAAUAACCAUGCAUGCCGGUAGCCAUACCUACGUGAAAGUCAGGAAGUGUAGCAUUGUUGUAGAUCAAAUAUUCACUUAUAUAACGAGAGCUCUUACAUGAAAAAACUGGGAAACACAGAGUAAGUGAGAAAGGCUGUUGUACGGCUAAGCAUAAAUGGGAGGUAUAUUAACUUUGAGAAAUUAAUGAAAUAUAUGUUAAAAAUUAUAUGUUGGAAACUUUAUAGUUAGCAAGAUCACAGCCUGGACACGGUGCUUAUGGAGGAAAGACGAAGGAGGUGGGGUGGAUUCUAAGAAGGAAGGGGGAAUGGAGAAAGAGGAGGAAAUAAGGUGGGGUUGCUGCUGGGAAGCAGGAGGUUGAAGAUGAAUAGUGGGGGCGGGGCCCACUAUGUUUAAAAAAAUUUCAAAGGAGAAUUGGUUAGGAGAAGGGAGAAAGAGGAAAGAAAAGCAAGGUGGGUCACUAGAAGACUUAAACGACGCGCGGCAACACCUGAUAAGGCCACGUGUUAUUUUAAUUUUUUUUCUUCAAAUUACUAAAAACUCAAUAAAAUCCUUAAUGAUUGCUCUACAAUUUUAAAAAAUAUGCAACCCUGGUGAUUCCAUCCUAUUCUCUUUGAUGUUUGUAUUUUGACAUCCGGGGAAGUCGCGACAUCGUUGUUAGUGAAUCAAUCCCUAGAUUCCAUCCUAUUCACUAACAACGAUGUCGCGACUUCCCUGGAUGUCAAAAUACAAACAUCAAAGAGAAUAGGAUGGAAUCACCAGGGUUGCAUAUUUUUCAAAAUUGUAGAGCAAUCAUUAAGGAUUUUAUUGAGUUUUUAGUAAUUUGAAGAAAAAAAAAUUAAAAUAACACGUGACCUUAUCAGGUGUUGCCGCGCGUCGUUUAAGUCUUCUAGUGACCCACCCUGCUUUUCUUUCCUUUUUCUCCCUUCUCCUAACCAAUUAUCCUUUGAAAUUUUUUUAAACAUAGUGGGCCCACCCCCACUAUUCAUCUUCAACCUCCUGCUUCCCAGCAGCAGCCCCGCCUUAUUUCCUCCUCUUUCUCCAUUCCCCCUUUCUUCUUAGAAUCCACCCCACCUCCUUCGUCUUUCCUCCAUAAGCACCGUGUCCAGGCUGUGAUCUUGCUAACUAUAAAGUUUCCAACAUAUAAUUUUUAACAUAUAUUUCAUUAAUUUCUCAAAGUUAAUAUACCUCCCAUUUAUGCUUAGCCGUACAGCAGCCUUUCUCACUCACUCUGCGUUUCCCAGUUUUAUGUCGAGGGGCAAAAUUGACCUAAACCAAAGAAAUUAAUUGAUGGAGAAGCAAAACUGGGUUUUCCCCAGAGAUGUGUGAGUAAAAGAAAGUUUCACAGAAAAGGAAAGAGAGAAAAUAAAGGAAGGAAAAGGCACUGUCAGGUUUUACAUGGUAAAAGAAAGCUUAUUAAUUUAUGUACAAGAGUUGUAGAAGGUGCCACAGGCCCUAGCCCUAGCUAUCUCAUUUUUGAACCCCACGUGCUAUACAAACGCUACGCAGAUGUACACAAGCGUCCGCCAAAACCAUAUCAUGCAAAAACAUGCCUCGAUUAUUGUCCAUGCCAUCUCCCAGCUAUACUGUCACCAGAGAGCAAAAACCAACAAGGAGCAACAAAAAUGUAAUCGGACACUUUCGCGCAUGUGAGAGGCUCUUUUACUAUCGCGGCGCUACGCGCUUCUAAUUUUUUAUUUAUUUAUGUUUCUUUACCUUCGAUUUUGAGUCCCGUCUUAUUUCUUUUUUUUUUUUACAAAUAUAUUUGUCUUAAUUUUUGUGCGUUUGGCAAGUGGUUGUCAUUCAUGGAAAAAGAAAAUAAUUAAAACUGAAUGAACAAUGUAUAAGCAACUAAUCAAGGCUCGUUUAAUUUUCUGGUUUGAAUAUUAUGUGUUUAGAAGUGUAAAUUUGAAUUUCGAAAUGAUUUUUCUGUUCAAAUAUUUGUUUCUGUGAUUUUGGGGGGUCUUUUGUUGAAACUUCGUUUAUAUUAGAAAGAAUUAUAAUUAUUAAAAACAGUUCUGCUUACAACAUACUCUUUUGCAAAAUUAGGAAUCAAAUACAAAUAUGAACAUCAACUCCUUAUAUAGAAAUAUGCUACGAAAAUUAAUUACUCAUGCCACCCCUUUUAUUCUCAUCUCCAUGGUCGAAUCCCGUGUCCACAAUUAUAAAAAUCGGCCUAGGCGGCACCUAGGCGGUUUUUUAUAUAUAUAUUUUUUAUUAAUGUGUGUUUUUUCUUUUGUUGGUUUUAUGGUGGUGUACUUAUGGAAAUGGUGUAUCUAAUUUGCAAAUGAUGAAUUUACUACAAGUUCAUCAAUAGUGAAACGAAUUGUAGCACUUUUGAGGGGAUCCCGGAUCCAUACAAAGAAAAGAAAUAAACUAAAUACAACAAGGUUACAUAAUUUAGUUUAUGUCUAAUCCAAUGCAAGGAUCAUGAUUUAUGAACAAGAAGAAUUUAGUCUAUCAUCCAAAUCCUCCUCAUUAUGAUUAUGUGCUUAUUGUUUUUUCUAAUAUUGAACUUUUUGGAUGUAUGUAAUUUGUGUAUUCUUCUACUUCUAUUUUUGCAUUUUAUCAUUCUUUUAUUAUCCAUACAAGUAUAGUUUUUUUUAGGUGUAAAUAGGCAUUUAUUUACAAGAUAUAUAAUAAAUUUACAUAAAUCCGCCUAAGUGCUAGGCUCCUACCCGCUGCUCGACUAGCGCCUAGCGAUUUUAUAACCUUGCCUGUGUCCACAUGUCCUUAUUUCAUUGACACAAAAUGUCACGUGACAGUAUAAUCGUGUUAUGCAAGUUAUUUUCCUGAACCGGCCACUAUCCAACCUAAUUUCAUUAUGGAACUUUUGUUCUUGUUAUAUUUGACCAUUCAAUUUAAUCUGGUAAUCCAAGAACAAUUCAAGUACAUUCUCUCCUCUUAAUAUCGAUUGUAUUCAAACUUAAUACGAGAUCUAAAAUACAUUUAAGAUAGGUUUGUGCCACGGGUUGAAACUCAACCCCAACCCAACCGAUGCCCUAUUAAAAGUCAUCGACGAUGUCUUCAAUGUAAAUAUACAAGUGUAACAUCAAGAAAAUUUCAACUAGACAAACAACCACAAUCAGCCUGCAAAGUGUAGUAAGCUCUAACGUUCUCAUCAAGAGCAUGAACUAUCACGUUGCCUAAAUAAAUAAAGAAACACAAUAUUGAAACCCAAAAAGAACGAAACUAACAAUAUCAAUGAGGCAUGUAAUGGCAAAUGUUAUACAGAAGUACAAGAUUCAUAUAAUAUACUAGGAAACACAUAAAUGGCUUUGGUCAUUCAGUAAUUUAGUCAAAAUACAUACUACAUAAAGUUUGAGCCCUCGUAUGGCUACUGGAAAUUUCCAUAACAACAAAACAAUUUUCAUUUUUCUACGAAUAUUGUGGUGCAUGGUGUAUGCGAAAAAUCAAACAUACCAUAACUAGAGCAAAUAUGUAAUCAAAACUAGUUUUCAAGAACAAAAAACGACAAUCCUACAACGAGCACAAUAUAACAGUGUGAAUGACAAUCCGCUUUCCUCCCUCUUACCUUUCUUGCCCUUCCACGAGAAAGAAGGCAUUCCCUUUUUUUCUUUUCGAAUUAGAACUUGGGAGAAACUUAUAUGCAAAUAGAACCGAAACUUCUAUGAGCUAGUGUCCUAACUAUUAAAUAAAAUUUUUAAGUGCUUUUGGUUAUGCUUCUCCAAAAAAAAAAACUUUUAUUUACGAGCGGUUUUUGUAAGUAGCACUUUUAUAAGAAGAACAAUUUGUCGUUUGGCAAGCAACCAAAUUAUAUUUAUUUAUUAUCUAUUCUAAAGUUGGUGGGCAAUUAGACUGUUCAUGGCUACAGUAAAUUGUUUGCCACUUGAUUUCACCUUAUUUACAAGAAACCCAUCAGAUUUGAGGUGGGUUGGAAGGGUAAUUAUUAGAACUUAAAAGGGUAAUUUUGUCCGUAGGGUUCACUGCCUUCGACUUCUUCUUGCUCUCUCUUCAUUUCUCUCAACCUGUAGCCCCAGCGCCGCUCACCCCUAUUCUUCUUCAUCUUUUCUAAAACCUAGCCCUCCCUCCAUCUCUCUCAACCCUAAACCAUCUUCCCCUUCUCCGUAAAACCCAGAGGCCGAGAGGCCUGAGUCCACAUCACAACUCGCCAUUCCGGAGAGCCUCAACUCCAUCAAACAACCACCAGCUCCCUGGACUCCCCUUUCUUUUCUCUAUAAACACCGAGGCGCACCAACGCCUCCAUUUUCCGGCAAAACAUGACUACAGCACCACCACCACUCGCUCCAUCUCACAGAACCACUAUCACUCACUCUGUUCUGCUCAGGAGACACAGGCGAGGCCUUUCACUGUGCACUGGCUCCUGCCACUGUUCGUCGACUUCUCCUACGAGACUCACCUCUCCUGACCUCGGUAAGCCACCCUUACACUCCUCCCUUAUGUUUUCAAUUUGGGACUCGAAUUCAAGCUUACAUGUCUUUUAGUUUUUCAUGCUUCUUUCGUCCAAUCAUCAUAGCCCUCUCCUCUCUGUCUCUUUAUAAACAAUUUCCAAUUGGUUUUUAGAGAGAGAAAGUGGCAGCAGCAGCAGUGGGAAGGAAUAAGGACUAUUCCUGUCUCUGUGAUCGUCUCUGCCCUUCGAAGCUCUAGGGUUUGGCUUUGGCUCUAUUAGCUGUUGAGGUAGUUAUUAAUCCGUACUUUGAUUGUAAUUUUUUUUUUCAGUAUUCAGUAAGUUUGAUCAAAUGCGUUUCUUUGGACUUGCAUAAGUUGUGUAUAAAAUUGCUUCAAUCAUCUAUUGGGUUCCUUUUGUAUUAUUGAGUUUUGCUAGAAAUUGUAUAAAAUUUGACCAAAUUGCAUAAAUUAUUGAGCUUUUGUUUGGUAUUUUUAUGGCUACUAUGCUAAUUAGUUCAUACCCAAAAAGGAGCAGAGAAUUAACUGUUCUAAUCAGUAAUUCCCCACUCUGAGAACUUGAGACCUUGGCUUGGACUGAUAUGCAUUUCCAAUGUUUUAGAUUACAUUGAUCUGUAUUAUUUUAAAGUAUAUAUAAAGAUUAGUUUUUAGGUGUAUGCACUAAAUAUUGGAUAUAUGGUAUUUUCAGGUUCUUUGACAUCCAAUUGCAUAUAAUCUCAAUUUUCUCAUGCAUUUUUUGUCUGAGCUUCGGAAUCGUUGAAAAAUUUGUCUAAAUAAUUAAUUGAUUGAAAUGGCUGUUAGUAAUGAAUGAGGUGUUUACUGUUUUUUGGUGUGUACAGAGCGAAAGAUAUGUUGUUAACAAGGGCAAAAACAAGAACUCUCGAUUUUGUUCAUUUCUUUUUUGGUACCCCAAAUGCUCCGUUUGGUUGCUGAGAGACUGAGAAAAAGGGAUUGAAUCGCUUGGUUUUUCGGUGAGAAAACAGAGCUGGGUUCUGUUGUGUUUUUAUCGUGACUGAUGGAAAUUUGGUGUCUUUGGUUCGAAUCUGCGGCACCCAAGAGGAAAAGACCGCGACCCGUGAAGUAUGACGACGAGAACCCAGCGGUUCAAAACAGUCCCAUUUCUUCUACGGCCAAAGUGGUGGCUGAUCAGCCUGCUAAGGUUGAGACUGCCUGUCCGAAUUUGGAAAAAAAAAACCCAGGAUCUCCAGCUGAAAAUGGCGGGUCUUCGUAUGAUUUGCCCCACUCUCAAGCUGUUCCGGCAUCGCUGGAGGCUCAGCGGGAGUCAAUUAGGCCGGAGAGCAACGCGGUGUUGAAGUCAAGGCCAGUGAACGAUGAAUUGGAGAGUCGAAAUGUUAAAACAAGCAAGGAGGAGCCUCAAUCUUCCAAGAAGGAACCUACUGGCAUCAGAUUGGAUGAUAAACGUGAAGAAAUCACACUGACCAAACCGUGAUAAAAUACGGAGGUAACAAGAAAAACCCAUAAAUCCUCUUCUUUCACAGUACAAUUUUAAUUCAAAUUCAGCACACUUUAACCCUUUUUUUUUCUUUGUUUUUUUGGCUGUUUCAGAGAUGUGAAGUUAAAGAGAGGAGGACUAAAUCAAUCUUCGAUUUACCUGACCAAUAAUUCAACAUUCAAGGAAGAUGGUGAAAAUCAGAACCCCAAUCUAUCAACCCUUCCAAUGAACCAAGCUAAGGCCAUGAAGGCAACAAUCAAAUCAAGCACAGAGAAGAAGCAACCAAUUGAGAGCACAACGCCGAACAAUGAGGUUCUUCCAAAGCUGAGAAGCACGCUGUCUGCAAGGAAUAUUAUGCUUGGUCCCAAUUACGAUGAGGAAAUUAACAAGACUCUGGUUUGCCUUUAUUAGGUGUCUGUUGAAAGGUUGAGUUCAAUGAAGAAAUAUGUAUUUGGGUUAAGCUCUGCUCAGGUGAUUUUUUUUUCAUAUUCGUUUCGGCCUGGCCAUUAGCAAGAUUUUUUAUAUUAGUAGUGAGAAACAAGUUUCUAUCAGUUUGUUAAUAUGGAUUUUCUUUGUCAUUUCAAUAUAGUCAUAAGCUAGGUUUAAGCCUUGAAUUGGUUUCUGUGUAGCUGCCUAGCUGGAUGUGCAUUUAACUGCUUUAAAUCUGUUUGUUUUGUGUUGAGGACUAACUAGGUUCGCUAGAUGCAAGAGUUUUAUUUUUUAUAUUAGAAAUUUAACCUCUGUUGCAUACCUGAGGUGAGAAUUUUGCUUUUAUAAUUUUUAUUUACUACAUCUAAUGAUCUUAUUUAUGAAUUGCAGGAAAAAGUUGUCAAGUUAAGCAAACAAUUGAGCCAUUUAAAAGUUUGGUGAGUAUCUUAUGUCACGUUGUGUAUUGUACGCACACACUCUCUAAACAAAGAGUUCGGUGCCACGUUGUGUACUCUCUCUCUCUAGACAGAGAGCUGGUGGGCGCUAUGUAGUGUACUUUCUGUCUCUGGACACAGAGCUGGGCGUGCACUCUCUCCAGACUAGGCACCACAAUAUAAUCCCACAAUUUUUAACAGAGAGCUGCAGCCACCAUAUAAUUUGAUAAUUUUCAUUUCAGCCAUGGCAACAGCACCACUCAACAUUGGAGCUAAUAGAUCAUCCAUCCCACCUGAAACCCCAGAAAUGAACCUUAAGACAUGGCCGCUUCUUUCACCACCCUCUUUGCCCUUGAAGGGUUAUUGUUCGCUAUCGAUACCAGUGCUCCAGGUAUAUUUGUUCACAGCAAAGCCCACAAAAAGUUGGUCUAGAUUGUGGUUUUCUCACUGGGUUUCAUAUUUUAUGUAUUGUUAUUUUUAUCAGCGAAAUUAAAAUACCCUCUAUAUAUAUGGCUUGCGUUAUCUGUGACCUGGAUAAUGUUCUGAUUUGGAGUCAAUGAAAACGUCCAUCCCAAGAAAUAUUUCGUCAAUAUGGUGUUAAUCAUUAACUUUAUUCUCGCAGCCCUAAUUUUUUUUAAAACACACUUCCUUGUUGGAGUGUCUGAAAGUUUCCGGUUUCUGAAGAAAAACCUAUCUUUCUAGGUUUCAAGAGGUUUUCUUAACCACCUAGAGAAAGCUAAUCCAUGGCUUAGCCUUCUUUAUGAAGCUGAGAAAACCUUUUGUUGGACCCCAAAAAGAUAGGUUCUUCCUCAGAAACUGAAGGCUUUCAGACAU